CCUUAGAUGAAAGAUGGUUCUGCUAUCGCUUUUAGAUGGACCCGCGGCGUAUUAACUAGUUGGUGGGGUAACGGCCUACCAAGGUGAUGAUACGUAGCCGAACUGAGAGGUUGAUCGGCCACAUUGGGACUGAGACACGGCCCAAACUCCUACGGGAGGCAGCAGUAGGGAAUCUUCCACAAUGGACGCAAGUCUGAUGGAGCAACGCCGCGUGAGUGAAGAAGGUCUUCGGAUCGUAAAACUCUGUUGUUAGAGAAGAACACGAGUGAGAGUAACUGUUCAUUCGAUGACGGUAUCUAACCAGCAAGUCACGGCUAACUACGUGCCAGCAGCCGCGGUAAUACGUAGGUGGCAAGCGUUGUCCGGAUUUAUUGGGCGUAAAGGGAACG
This 389-nucleotide ribosomal RNA is filed under the name Ligilactobacillus salivarius. RNAcentral describes it as "bacterial SSU rRNA". It matches the Rfam family "Bacterial small subunit ribosomal RNA", at positions 194 to 571 of the family's 1533-position model. The record is from RNAcentral. Lineage: Bacteria; Bacillati; Bacillota; Bacilli; Lactobacillales; Lactobacillaceae.